UACGGAAGGCAGCAGUGGGGAAUAUUGCACAAUGGGCGCAAGCCUGAUGCAGCCAUGCCGCGUGUAUGAAAAAGGCCUUCGGGUUGUAAAGUACUUUCAGUCGUGAGGAAGGUGUUAAGGUUAAUAACCUUAGCAAUUGACGUUAGCGACAGAAGAAGCACCGGCUAACUCCGUGCCAGCAGCCGCGGUAAUACGGAGGGUGCGAGCGUUAAUCGGAAUUACUGGGCGUAAAGGGCACGCAGGCGGUUAAUUAAGUUGGAUGUGAAAUCCCCGGGCUUAACCUGGGAAUGGCAUUCAAGACUGGUUAGCUAGAGUCUUGUAGAGGGGGGUAGAAUUCCAUGUGUAGCGGUGAAAUGCGUAGAGAUGUGGAGGAAUACCGGUGGCGAAGGCGGCCCCUGGACAAAGACUGACGCUCAUGUGCGAAAGCGUGGGGAGCGAAACAGGGAUUAGAUACC
RNAcentral lists this ribosomal RNA (455 nucleotides) under uncultured bacterium. RNAcentral describes it as "bacterial SSU rRNA". It matches the Rfam family "Bacterial small subunit ribosomal RNA", at positions 340 to 786 of the family's 1533-position model. The record is from RNAcentral.